AAAUUGACGAUGAUUAUAACAAUAAUUCCUCGUUCUGACUUGUUUGAUUUGAGCAUGAUAAAUCUCUUAUUACACUCAUAGAAUCUGAGUUAU
This 93-nucleotide small nucleolar RNA is filed under the name Theobroma cacao (cacao). Its description in RNAcentral is "snoRNA snoR8a". It matches the Rfam family "Small nucleolar RNA snoR8a". Lineage: Eukaryota; Viridiplantae; Streptophyta; Magnoliopsida; Malvales; Malvaceae. The record is from Rfam by way of RNAcentral.